Molecule: transfer RNA, 70 nt
Filed under: Marmota marmota marmota (Alpine marmot)
Lineage: Eukaryota; Metazoa; Chordata; Mammalia; Rodentia; Sciuridae
Also listed under: 1 other name
Rfam family: tRNA
About the family: Transfer RNA (tRNA) molecules are approximately 80 nucleotides in length.
Source: Rfam by way of RNAcentral
UGGGAAGGUACUCAGUGGUAGAGCACUUGCCUAGCAUGCAAGGCCCUGGGUUCCAUCCCCAGCACCCCAA